UACGGAGGGUGCAAGCGUUGUUCGGAUUUACUGGGCGUAAAGCGCACGCAGGCGGUCUGUGAAGUUUGGAGUGACAGUUGGUGGCUCAACCACCAAAGUGCUUUGAAAACUGAUAGACUUGAGGGCUUCAGAGGGACACGGAAUUCCGGGUGGAGUGGUGAAAUGCGUAGAGAUCCGGAGGAACACCAAAGGCGAAGGCAGUGUCCUGGGGAGUACCUGACGCUCAGGUGCGAAAGCCAGGGGAGCGAACGGG
Molecule: ribosomal RNA, 253 nt
Filed under: uncultured bacterium
Lineage: Bacteria
Description: partial 16S ribosomal RNA
Rfam family: Bacterial small subunit ribosomal RNA
Source: RNAcentral